This 476-nucleotide ribosomal RNA is filed under the name uncultured bacterium. RNAcentral's name for it is "bacterial SSU rRNA". It matches the Rfam family "Bacterial small subunit ribosomal RNA", at positions 28 to 502 of the family's 1533-position model. The record is from RNAcentral.
GAUGAACGCUAGCGGCAGGCUUAACACAUGCAAGUCGAGGGGUAGAGGAAGCUUGCUUCCUUGAGACCGGCGCACGGGUGCGUAACGCGUAUACAAUCUACCUUUUACAGAGGGAUAGCCCCAGAGAAAUUUGGAUUAAUACCUCAUAGUAUUUUCGGAUCGCAUGAUUUGAUUAUUAAAGUUCCAACGGUAAAGAUGAGUAUGCGUCCCAUUAGCUAGAUGGUAAGGUAACGGCUUACCAUGGCGAUGAUGGGUAGGGGUCCUGAGAGGGAGAUCCCCCACACUGGUACUGAGACACGGACCAGACUUCUACGGGAGGCAACAGUGAGGAAUAUUGGACAAUGGGCGCAAGCCUGAUCCAGCCAUGCCCGCGUGCAGGAAGACGGUCCUAUGGAUUGUAAACUGCUUUUAUACAGGAAGAAACACUCGGACGUGUCCGAACUUGACGGUACUGUAUGAAUAAGCAUCGGCUAACU